GAGAGGACCGGAGUGGACGCAUCACUGGUGUUCGGGUUGUCAUGCCAAUGGCACUGCCCGGUAGCUAAAUGCGGAAGAGAUAAGUGCUGAAAGCAUCUAAGCACGAAACUUGCCCCGAGAUGAGUUCUCCCUGAGACUUAGAGUCUCCUGAAGGAACGUUGAAGACGACGACGUUGAUAGGCCGGGUGUGUAAGCGCAGCGAUGCGUUGAGCUAACCGGUACUAAUGAACCGUGAGGCUUAACCUUACAACGCCGAAG
RNAcentral lists this ribosomal RNA (258 nucleotides) under Salmonella enterica subsp. enterica serovar Muenchen. RNAcentral describes it as "partial 23S ribosomal RNA". It matches the Rfam family "Bacterial large subunit ribosomal RNA", at positions 2685 to 2925 of the family's 2925-position model. The record is from RNAcentral. RNAcentral also lists the same sequence under 2 other names. Lineage: Bacteria; Pseudomonadati; Pseudomonadota; Gammaproteobacteria; Enterobacterales; Enterobacteriaceae.